RNAcentral lists this long non-coding RNA (555 nucleotides) under Anas platyrhynchos platyrhynchos (common mallard). RNAcentral describes it as "lncRNA (ENSAPLG00000028510.1)". Lineage: Eukaryota; Metazoa; Chordata; Aves; Anseriformes; Anatidae. The record is from RNAcentral.
AUGCAACCCAAAAUAGCCCCGGCACAAAGCACUCCAGGAACCCCCCUCUUCCUUUCCUUCCAUGUCCCCUUCAUCCGGCACUGUGACACGGAGGGGUUAGACUGGAAUGAAAAGAGCUUCCAGACCUCUGAAGUUUUGAAAAGCUGGGUCUUGGUCCUACAGACAUUUAAGAAGUUGUGCACAAGGUCAGAACAAAAGUCCAUUUAACACUGUAUUUACCUCCAAGAAUGACAGUAAGAUACGCAGAACCAAGACCAACAAGGGAAAAAGAACGGUUUUAGAGAAAAUACUUUCCAGAGGUUUGUGGCUGGGGAACUAGAAGCAAUACCUAUGUGAGUAAUGCUGUCUUGCUUCAACUGGUAUGGGACCAAGGUUCAAAGACAAGUUUAGGUCCUUUGCUCCUGCUGCAAAAUUCAAGUCAUGGGUAGCAACUUUGGUGGGGUUACCCUUAAAUUCAGGUUAUGCACAGUGAAACAUUUAUAGACAUUCUUGGUGUCUAAAUGCGUUAAUAAUUUGUUAAUAUAAUGUGUUAAUAAAUGUGUUAAUAAUUCAGCA